Molecule: ribosomal RNA, 509 nt
Filed under: Trigonopterus sp. 468 MB-2015
Lineage: Eukaryota; Metazoa; Arthropoda; Insecta; Coleoptera; Curculionidae
Description: SSU rRNA
Rfam family: Eukaryotic small subunit ribosomal RNA
Source: RNAcentral
GUCAUAUGCUUGUCUCAAAGAUUAAGCCAUGCAUGUCUCAGUACAAGCCAAAUUAAGGUGAAACCGCGAAAGGCUCAUUAAAUCAGUUAUGGUUCCUUAGAUCGUACCCACAAUUACUUGGAUAACUGUGGUAAUUCUAGAGCUAAUACAUGCAAACAGAGCUCCGACCGGAGACGGGAGGAGUGCUUUUAUUAGAUCAAAACCAAUCGGUGGCGAGUUCGCUCGUUGUCGUACAACUUGGUGACUCUGAAUAACUUUACGCUGAUCGCACGGUCAUCGCACCGGCGACGCAUCUUUCAAAUGUCUGCCUUAUCAACUGUCGAUGGUAGGUUCUGCGCCUACCAUGGUUGUAACGGGUAACGGGGAAUCAGGGUUCGAUUCCGGAGAGGGAGCCUGAGAAACGGCUACCACAUCCAAGGAAGGCAGCAGGCGCGCAAAUUACCCACUCCCGGCACGGGGAGGUAGUGACRAAAAAUAACGAUACGGGACUCAUCCGAGGCCCCGUAAUC